Molecule: long non-coding RNA, 3580 nt
Organism: Mangifera indica (mango)
Lineage: Eukaryota; Viridiplantae; Streptophyta; Magnoliopsida; Sapindales; Anacardiaceae
Exons: 3
Source: RefSeq, a predicted model, not a curated record
CUGAAACUAAGUAGGAACUUUACUAGAAUAUGUCAGCUCUAUCUUACAAAACUGUACAGUAGGCAUCUAUGAAAGAACAGACAUUAAUAUCUGACCCAACCAAAUAUCUUGCCCUUGAGAAAAACGGAACAUCAAGUCAAGUCGCUCAUUGAGUUGAGUUAAAUGCAUCUUCCCAUUUCCUGCUUUUUCUUAUAAAGUUUACUCAUUUUUUCAGAUUACGUUUACAAAUCUCCCAAAGAAUAUUUAUUUCAUUUUCCCACUUUUUCUUUGCCAAGAAGAUUCUCCUAGAAAUGGUAAGUGCUUGGCUGGCUUCGAUUGUCAUGUUUCCCAGUCCCAGAAGAAAUUGCCUUGUGAAAUAUUUGGUGAAUAAUGACCGCCCGCGUAGAAAGUAGGGAUUCAAUUAUGUUGGUGGGUUUAGAUUCUUAAUGAAAAUUGUUAUCUCUACUAACAACCGUAGCUUAACAAAUCAACAUAUAACUAAUUAAUAUAUUUUUUUAUUUGGUUAAAGUAGGUGUGCUAAUCUUAUUAAUUUACCUAAUCAUCAAAAGUGUGGCUUUUGUCAAUAGAUUACUGUGAUGAAACAAAAAGAUGCUGCUAUCUUCUUUAAUGGGGAGGAUGUUUUGUUAUGCUCAGGCGCGGUUGUUGUGCGUGGCUAGGAAUUUUGUAUUUUACGUGUGCACGGAAGUCGCACGGAUGACGCACGAACGACAGAUUUUUUCAAUAUUGUAAUAAAUCGUGUGUGCGACGGAUUUGUGCGUUGGCUUGGAUUGUAAUGUCAUAUUUAUUUAGAAAUGCCUGCCUCUCAUCAUUUUCCCUUUUUACUUUCAUUAUUUUCCUUUCCUUACAAGAUUUCUCAUCCAAUAUUUGAACUAUUGCUUGCGUUUGGAGACUCACUCUUCGACCCAGGCAACAAUCAGUGGAAAGCACAGGAACAUAUUGGCCUAAUGGUAUGAGUAUGAACAACAAAUCCACUGGCAGAAUGUCGGAUGGCCUUCUGCAGCUGGGUCCUGAUUUUAUUGUGGAUCCACCAUAUAUACUGUUAAGCAAAAGUGGUAACAAUAAUUUUAUUAAAUUACAAAAUUUGUACAAAACACACCCACACACUUUACAAUAUUCCUUACUCACAACUCACAGACUCUACACUUGACUACACUCACACACACCCCACACACUUUGAUUUUGCAUUUAUUUUUCUACACUCUCACUAGCAGCUCAGGCACACACCUUAUUUUUUCUGUGCACUUACUGCCUCUUCAUUUUGUACAUACUCACGGCAACCACUUACCUAUAUUUAUACUAGUUUAUGUCGGUUGUAUAACCGACUUUAACCUUUCUUUAAUUCUCUGGACUGUUGGCUGCAUUAGUUGGUCUGGGAGCAUCUUGAAUGGCGCCUUACUUGCUUCUUGAUGCUUGAGAGGCGGUUCCAUUUUAAGCAAAAUUCUGGAAUGUUGUGGAGAGAAAGAGAAAGGCGUCGCUCUCUUUAACACGUACGAUGGUUGAAGUCCCUUUCAAGCCAAUGAGGCUUUCUUGUUAAAAACACUAGAGAUCCCACAGAUAGUCCAACCACCCUUCCACAUCCAUAACCCAUCAGCACAGCCUUCCAACCAAAAUCACUGUUAGAGUUUGCAUCACAUUCUGAAAAUGGCCACGAAGGUUCACUAGUACUACAUUUAUUCAUUAAUGGUGGUCCACAUAAUCUUGGAUUUUCUGAGUAUAAAUUAUUUAAGAACGUAUCAAAUUGGAUCCACAAGUUGGUUUUGUCACAAAUUCAGAACAGCAAGAAAUGUCAAAUUUGUUUACUGUCAUGGAAUUCUUCCGCCAAGCUUGUUUGAAGAAAGGUUUAAGGAUUCGAGCCCUCCUAAAUUGCCCAACAAUGGAGGAAUUGUACUUGUAAGACUGUUCUGAGAAAAGUUGAGGAGAUAAUGUGCUCGAAGCUUUCCAAUUACUGCUGGAAUUGUGCCAUGGAAGCAGUCGUUUGAGAAAUCAAUGAUUCUUAACUUGGAGAAAGAAGAAUUGUCUUCAGGCUUAGUCACAACUAAAGCUCUAUCUCUGAGUUCUACUCAUUCGAGUUGAAUGUGGAUUCAAGUCCAGCUCAAAUCCACCUCCAGCUAACAGAGCAAAAGAAAACAACCAAGAAAAAUUAUUGUCCCUUAAAACAGAAUCAUAUAAGCAAAGUUGUAUGGCACACAAAUAACCUGUGAAAUAUCCAAUAAUUCAAUUUGUUUUAAAAGGAAUUCAACACCGACCAAAAUUUCAAUUUCCAUUUCCAUUUCAAAUCAUUUGAACACUAAGCAUUCAAGUAAAAGAAUCCAACCAAUCAAAUUCCAAGCUCUGUAUAUUUCAUUUGCUCCCAAAAGUUCUGAGGCAGCAGACUUCCAAAAAUCAAAGGCCAUUGUUCAGAACCCAAAUCUCGAAUCCGCCAAAUCAACAGUUCCAACCCUUUCCUCCUCCGGCAAAACUGACCAAUUGGGACUCUGGACAGCUCUCAACCACUUGAAAUCAACUACAUUGCCCCAAUUUCCGGUCUCCUCACUCAACCCUGCCACCUCCAAAUCCUUCGGAAUCCCUUCAUAUUUCAAACAAUAUGGCCCAAAACGAACCCCAUUACAAUCCUCAGUGAUCGGCCUACUCUUCACUCUCAAAUAAAAAUCACAGCUUUUCGCAAAAUGGAUCCUAAUCUGAUGCGAAGCCAAAACCAACAAACAAUCCUCAACUUCUUCAAUCAAAAUCGAACCCGUCACAGGACCCACAUAAACUUUACAACCCUUUAAUUUAUUAAUGAAUAAAGCGUUCAGACAACCCACUAAUCUCACCUCACACGAGUCCAAACCCGAUAACGUAAACUCCCCGAUUUCAGAACCCUUAAUAUCUCGGAACAAUAUCUCGUUUUGUUUAUCUCGAAAACCCGGGGAUUCACGAACCGGGAAAUCAGAUUUUGUUUUUGUUUCAUUUGGGGCUGAAACGACGUCAUUUUCUGGGAUCUGGGUUUGGGUUUUAGUGGUUUUGUUUUUGAAGGCGAAUUUCUUUUUGGGGAUCAACUUGGCCGAUAAAUUAUCAAGAUUUCGUUUCAAAUCGGAGUUGAUUUUAAGAGAUGAUCGGACCUCGUAGGAGGGGAGGGAGUAGGAGUUUUCGGCGACAAGUUUUUCCAGAGCGGAGAUGGCGGCGGAGAUGUCGGGGAGACGGGAAGGGUCAUCGGUGGUUUGGAGUUGAGAGGUGAUGGAGUUUUUAGAGUCGUUGAAGCGGGAGAGGAAAGUGGAGGUGGAUGAGUCAGGUGAAUCAAGUUUGCGAGUUUCUAAACGAGUUUAGUGACUAUUUGAGAGACGCUCCAGCAUUAAUUGAUGUUUCUUUUGUAAAGUUUGGUCUGGGAUUUGGUGGGUUUUCGGGUUCUCUUCGUCUUCCAUUCCAGAAAUGGCGUUCUACAGAGCUCUUUCGUUAUCUGUACGUGGAUCCGAGCGGACGCGCCCGAGUCGGCCGGUUGAAAACAUGCAACUCAGAAAAGGUUAAAAAAAAAAAAAGAAAAAUGUUAUAAUUAUAAUUCAAACGCAUUAUUAUUAUUAUUAUUAUUAUUAUUAUUAUUUUA